Molecule: long non-coding RNA, 1139 nt
Filed under: Zonotrichia albicollis (white-throated sparrow)
Lineage: Eukaryota; Metazoa; Chordata; Aves; Passeriformes; Passerellidae
Description: lncRNA (ENSZALG00000004464.1)
Source: RNAcentral
GUAUUGUUCAACCCUGUAAAACCUUUUGGUAUAUAUUCAAAGGAGGGUAAUAACUGAAUUUUGGAACCUCCUUAACAGCAUAUAAAAAAAAAAGCUUUUUCAGUUUAUUGAAAUAUAACUUGAAUUUUUCUUAUUAAUCUCUAGACUAUGAAUGUAUGAACUGAAGUUGAACUGCUUUUGAUAGUGAACUGUCCAACUCUUCAGUGUCUAUUCAGAUAUGCUUCAUAUCUCCUGGGUUCCUAAGACACUUUUUGCCUGAAAUCCCAUAUUUUGCCUUCAGUUUGAUGCAUAAUUCUUCUGCAUUGCACUUUAUCAAUAAGUAUUCUGUUUCAUGUAUUCAUCCACCAGAGAUUGGGGCUCUUUCUAACUCUUCCUCUACAAAAUUGGGAAAUUUGACCUAUAUAAUCCAGGCAGUAUUUCAGAGAGGGUUGUUUGAUUUUGACACAAGAAGCAGUGGUACCUCCUACACUACCUUCAAAAGAUACCAAGGCACAAUAGAAGGAUGUGCAAUGAACCUUCCCUAAAAUUGUAUUUCAGGGGUAGAGGGAAGAACAUUCAGUUUGUCCUGGAAAAUUCAAUUUAGCAGGUGGGCAAGAUUAUGUUUUGGACCCUUCCAGCUCACUGUGAUUUUAUGAUACCAGUGCUUGACUUCAAUGACUGGGAAUGGGGAAGAGGAGGAGCUGCAGCAGUAACUCCCAGGAGCUUACCACUGCCCAAGCCUUUGUUCAGUCCUGGCCUUCCCUCUAAAAAAAGAAGACCACUAAGGGAAUGAACCAUUUCAACCUACAUCACUCUGAGGCACUGACAGGAGUUAUAGGAAUAUUUGACUCUUAAAUUGUUUUUUUUCACACUGACCACUGACAGAGUUUAAGACAAGUUUUAACACUGGCACCAUUCAAAACAGUGUUCAGAGACUUCAGCCUCACUUGCAGGGAGUGAACAUCAUCAGCAAUUCUUCUGCUGAUAAGAGCAUUUUAAUGACUCUGAUUAUGAGAAAAAUACUUUUCAAGUGGUUUUAAAGAGCAGCUGAAGGAUGCAGCUUGGCAAGGCAUUUAUAGUACUUCCACCACAAAUUACUAAUACACUAGGAUAACUGUUGAAUUAAUUAUUAAUGGAUUGAGGCCCUUCCCAUGAGGAGA